Molecule: ribosomal RNA, 487 nt
Filed under: uncultured bacterium
Lineage: Bacteria
Description: partial 16S ribosomal RNA
Rfam family: Bacterial small subunit ribosomal RNA
Source: RNAcentral
GACGAACGCUGGCGGCGUGCUUAACACAUGCAAGUCGAACGGAAAGGCCCCCAUCUUGGUGGGGGUGCUCGAGUGGCGAACGGGUGAGUAACACGUGGGUGAUCCGCCCUGUACUUCGGGAUAAGCUUGGGAAACUGGGUCUAAUAACGGAUAGGACCAUGGUUUAGUGUCUCAUGGUGGAAAGAUAAUUGUUUUGGUGCAGGAUGAGCUCGCGGCCUAUCAGCUUGUUGGUGGGGUAAUGGCCUAUCAAGGCGUCGACGGGUGGCCGGCCUGAGAGGGUGGACGGCCACAUUGAGACUGAGAAACGGCCCAGGCUACGACGGGAGGCAGCAGUGGGGAAUAUUGCACAAUGGGCGCAAGCCUGAUGCAGCGACGCCGCGUGGGGGAUGACGGCCUUCGGGUUGUAAACUCCUUUCGUUAGGGACGAAGCCACGCUUUUUGGGUGUGGUGACGGUACCUUUGUUAAGAAGCACCGGCUAACUACGUG